This 214-nucleotide unclassified non-coding RNA is filed under the name Hevea brasiliensis (rubber tree). Lineage: Eukaryota; Viridiplantae; Streptophyta; Magnoliopsida; Malpighiales; Euphorbiaceae. The record is from RNAcentral.
GCGGACGGUUAUCUACCACCAUGUUCAAAUCAUGCUUCGAGGCUUCCACGACCUUCAAUCCAAUCUUAUCCGCUAUCCUCAUCACCUUCUCCACACCCUUCUUAUCCUUCUUCUUCUUGCUGUUCCCACUCAAGUCCAACACCUCCUGAACGUAAAGAGCAUAGAAUUCCCUCCUUGCAAUCGAUAAGGCCGCGAGAACUGGACCUACACCAUA